UAGGGGGUGGGGGUGGUUGAGGGAGUCUGGGCAGUCCGUGGGGAACCCCCUUUAUCGGUUCGGACUUUGGGUAGCGAUCGAGGGAUGGUAUCGGAUAUCGACACGAGGAAUGACCGAUCGUCCGGCCGCCGGGAUUUUCGCCGGAAAACUUUUCCGGCGACUUUUCCGGCGAUCGGUUUUGUUGCCUUUUCUCCGAGUUUUCUCAGCAGCUUCUCGGACAAAAACUGCUGAAUCGUCGAGGAGAAUGGGCUUGUUCUUGGCGGGCUGCCAUUAGUUCUUCGGGAGGCGUUAGGGGUGGCUGGCGGUAUAAAAGUGCGUCGGAGUUUUUUCUGCAGUUCUCGGACAAAAUUGCUGAGUGGCCGAGAAGAAUGCUGGGCGUGUCAUGCGUGGGCUGACAUGGAUUCUUCUCGAGGCCUAGGGGUGGCGGUAUAACUUGUUCGCAUGAUAUUACCGAGAUGUCCCCACGGGCAUCUUUUUCACCCUCGUCGCCGAAGAGAAUGGGCGUGUCAUGGCAUGGGCUGACAUGGAUUCUCCUGUGGGCCGUUUGGGUGGCGGUGGUAUAGUCGUCUUGCGCACGAAAUACCGAGAUGUGUCCCCAUGGGCACGUCGAUUCCACCCGCCUAGUGCUUGAUGGGCGUGCUUGCCUGGAAAGCAUGGAUCCGCCUUAGGCUGUGUCCCUUCCGAGUGUGAGCGAGGUGUGAGUGCUCGCCCAUGGGUAAUCGACACCUUGCGGCUAGGGAACUGGAACGAGACGGGUGGCAAAGAUUUCGAGUAAAGCACUUCAUACUACCGUGGGUUUUUUAAACCUUCCCCUAGUUUUGCUUGAUGUUAUCUCCGAGAAUUAGCAAACCAGUAACGAAGAUGUUCUUGGCAAAAUCCAUCUUUUGAUGGGAGUCCGGCUGGAAAAUCGAUAGCCGCGGCCAAGGCGUGAUGAACGAAAUGUGAACCCCUUGUCUCGCCUAGGCUUGAUGGGCGUGCUUCGUUGGAAAGCAUGGAUCCGCCUAGGCUGUCCCGAGUGUGAGCGAGGUGUGGAGUGUCGCCCAUGGGCAUCGACAACCUUGCGGCUAGGAACCUGGAACGAGACGGGUAGCAAAGAUUUCGAAAGUAGCACUUCCUUCAUACUACCGUGGGUUUUUUAAACCUUCCUUAGUUUCUUGCUUCGAUGUUAUUCCGAGAAUUAGCAAACCGUAACGAAGAUGUUCUUGGCAACCAUCUUUUGAUGGGAGUCCGGUCUGUUCGAAAGCUUCCGGCCACAAGGGUGAUGAACGAAAUGUGAACCCUUGUCUCGCCUAGGUUGGAUGUGAAGUGCUUCGUUGAAAGCUAUGGAUCCGCCUAGGCUGUCCCCGAAGGUAUCUCGCGCUUGUACGGCUUUGGCUCGGAUUCGUCCGUCUUCUUCUUCUUAGCCGAGUACUUCGGUAGAUUAGUUGGAACGAUUGAUGAUUCUUGAGUUAAUUGAACGUUCGGCGUAUGAGUGGUGAUCGGAUAGCUAGGUGUUCGUAGGGCUCCAUGCUCGCGCAUCGAACUACCUACCACCUUAUCCUUCUCUCAGUUAAUUCCACGGGCGAUGUUACGCUCGAUGAUGAGUUCCGGGGCCUGUGUUUCGUACCUAAUUUGAAGUUGAAUUAAGUUGAGUUUCGUUUACACCCAUGCCCGCGUGGCUUCUCCCUUCGUGGGGAAGUCGUGGGCACAAACAUCGGGCGCUUGUUCACCUCCUCGUCAUCGCAUUUGUUGCCUUGCUCGCAUUGGUGAAUGAGUUGCGUGGUUGAAAUGGCUCGGAUGCGAAAAGUUGUCGACGGUGACUCGAAGUGAUUCAGUCCCGUCAAAGUCUCAUCCGUCCUUCGGGCAAAGAUGACGGUCAAGACCUCGGUCCUUUCUUUCUCUCUUCCAUUGCGUUUGAGAGGAUGUGGCGGGGAAUUGCCGUGAUCGAUGAAUGC
This 1934-nucleotide unclassified non-coding RNA is filed under the name Arabidopsis thaliana (thale cress). RNAcentral describes it as "5' external transcribed spacer". Lineage: Eukaryota; Viridiplantae; Streptophyta; Magnoliopsida; Brassicales; Brassicaceae. The record is from RNAcentral.